UACGGAGGUUCCAAGCGUUGUUCGGAAUUACUGGGCGUAAAGGGAGCGCAGGCGGGCAAGUCAGUCUGAAGUGAAAUCCCGGGGCUCAACCUCGGACUUGCUUCGGAUACUGCUUGUCUUGAGUUCGUGAUAGGAAGACGGAAUUCAGGGUGUAGCGGUGAAAUGCACAGAUAUCCUGAGGAACACCGGUGGCGAAAGCGGUCUUCUGGCGCGAAACUGACGCUGAGGCUCGAAAGCGUGGGUAGCAAACGGGAUUAGAUACCCCGGUAGUCCCU
RNAcentral lists this ribosomal RNA (275 nucleotides) under uncultured prokaryote. RNAcentral's name for it is "partial 16S ribosomal RNA". It matches the Rfam family "Bacterial small subunit ribosomal RNA", at positions 524 to 798 of the family's 1533-position model. The record is from RNAcentral.